This 253-nucleotide ribosomal RNA is filed under the name uncultured bacterium. Its description in RNAcentral is "partial 16S ribosomal RNA". It matches the Rfam family "Bacterial small subunit ribosomal RNA", at positions 524 to 776 of the family's 1533-position model. The record is from RNAcentral.
UACGUAGGGUGCGAGCGUUAAUCGGAAUUACUGGGCGUAAAGCGCGCGCAGGCGGUUCUUCAAGUCAGAGGUGAAAGCCCAGAGCUCAACUCUGGAAUGGCCUUUGAGACUAGAGAACUAGGGUACGGGAGAGGUGAGUGGAAUUCCGAGUGUAGAGGUGAAAUUCGUAGAUAUUCGGAAGAACACCAGUGGCGAAGGCGGCUCACUGGCCCGUUACCGACGCUCAGGCGCGACAGCGUGGGGAGCAAACAGG